GUGAUGGGUGAAUGGAAUCGUCAACACAAGAGUUUCAACAUGUCUUCUUCAAGAAUGAAAAUGUCUGACGGAGAUUGGGUCUGUGCAGACGAAAGCUGCGCGAAUGUUAACUUCGCUCGAAGGACUUCAUGCAAUCGGUGUGGAAAGGCCAAAGUUAAAGCCAAAGUAGAUACNAUCAAGUUAAGUGGCAUGAGGGUUGGCAAACAAGGAGCCAAUAAAAGCGGUGGACUGUUCAGUGAAGAGGACUGGAUUUGCUCAAAGUGUGGAAAUGUGAACUGGGCUCGUAGAAAUCAGUGCAACAUGUGUAAUAAUCUCAAGUUUGCUAAAGUAGAAGCAAGAACAGGUUAUGGUGGUGGAUUCAAUGAAAGAGGAACNGUAGAGUAUAAAGAAAGAGUACCUUCUGAUGAUGAUGAUUAUGAUGAGUUUGGGCGUAGGAAGAAAAAGAAGGGUGCAAACCAACAAGAUGAAAAGAAAGAAGAAAAAGUUGUGGAAAUUGAAGACAAGGAAGAUGAAGAUGUUUCAAAAUAUGACUUGGAGGAAGAAGAGGAUGAUGAAGAUGUUGAUCUCUCCAAGUAUGCCCUUGAUGCAUCUGAUGAUGAUGAUGAUGAUGAGACCAACAUACCCAAGAAAAAGGGCCGGUCCAGAUCAAGGUCUUCCUCAAGAUCUAGAUCAUCACGCUCUCCAAAGAGAAGGCGUAGAACUUCUUCAUCAUCAAGUAGUUCAAGGUCUCGUUCAAGAUCCAGAUCCCGUUCUCGCUCAAGAUCAAGAUCAUAUUCAAGAUCACAUUCUAAAUCAAGUUCAUCAUCAUCAAGGUCUUCAUCACGAUCUAGAUCCAGGAGUAGGAGCAGGAGCCACAAGCGAGCUAGAUCUAGGUCAAGGUCUAGGUCACGGUCUCAUUCCAGGUCNCCUAAGAGUAGGAGGUUUGGAUUUGUAGAGAAUGGAUUUCAGCAUCUUACAUUUAUCAAUCUGAUUAAAAAAAUUUUUUUUUUAGUCACCAAACUUACAAUUUAUUUUGUAAUUUUUCAAAGCUUACAUCAGAAUGUUAAAAGUUUAACCUGUGAGUUUCAAAAAAUGAAUCAUAGCAUAGUUAUUAUUGAUCUGCAUGCUGAAUUUUUUGAUACUUCUGUUUGAAAAUUGUUGCAAUGUAUAGUAGUAUUUGUUUUGAGAAAAAAUCUGAAUGCUUUUUUAUAGAUACAUAUAUAUGAGCUACUAGUACUGGCCAUUAUAAAGCUGUUGAUACCAUUACUGCUAUUUCCAUAAACAUGCAAACUCGCUGUGAGUUGCAUGCUGAAAUUUGGUUUUUUCGCUGCCAUCAAUCAAAGCUAAUCAGUCAGUUCCUUUCAUAGUUUUGACUGUUGGCAGUGAAAAACCGAAUUUCAGUGUGCAGCUCACAGCUACAAAGUUUGCAUGUUUAUGAAGAUAGUAGUAAUAGCUACAGAUAAAAAAUAGCUUAGCUAUACUGGUAUUCAGGGUAUGAUCAUUAACAAUGUGGUUUUUUUCAACAGAAAGCACCCAAGAUCAAGAUAGAAUCCCACAUUUGUGUGAGGUCAAUUGCCUUUCAGGACUCCUGAUACUUCACAAGGAAUGGUAACAUGAUUUACCUAUAAAACAUAUUGGGUAUUUUCCUUAGUUUUGUACUUACACACCAUUCGCAAGAUACUCGAUGGAAAAACGUAGAAAGCGGAAAAACCUUACUAUGCAUGGAGCUGUAACAGUAAUCGUGUGAAAUGGUUUUCGAAUGUCAUGUAUUUUGUCAUUAAGGAAAAAUAAAACUUUCUUAGUCCUA
RNAcentral lists this unclassified non-coding RNA (1786 nucleotides) under Actinia tenebrosa (Australian red waratah sea anemone). RNAcentral describes it as "zinc finger Ran-binding domain-containing protein 2- like, transcript variant X1". The record is from RNAcentral. Lineage: Eukaryota; Metazoa; Cnidaria; Anthozoa; Actiniaria; Actiniidae.